Jatropha curcas is the source of this 290-nucleotide long non-coding RNA. RefSeq lists it as uncharacterized. Lineage: Eukaryota; Viridiplantae; Streptophyta; Magnoliopsida; Malpighiales; Euphorbiaceae. The record is from RefSeq and is a predicted model, not a curated record.
GCUGCCGGCGGCGGUAUUUUCUCCGGUGACCGGCCGGCGACACUCCGGCGAGACCCUGAGAGGCAGAAUUCUCUUCUCUUCGUGCUGAUCGUGGAAUCUUCGCCCAAAUUUCAAAUGGAAGUAGCUCUUUCACUGUUAGAAAAGAGUUCUCUAAGUUUAGUAUUGGUCUAUUAAAUAGAUAAACGUCCGAAGGCUUAUCUGUAUUCAUUUGUUAGAGAACUCCGCAGUUAUAGGAUUUGUAUAUUUUUAUUCGUAUAUUAUUAUAGAUACAAUUAUUUUGUGAGCCUAAA